RNAcentral lists this ribosomal RNA (425 nucleotides) under uncultured bacterium. RNAcentral's name for it is "partial 16S ribosomal RNA". It matches the Rfam family "Bacterial small subunit ribosomal RNA", at positions 354 to 796 of the family's 1533-position model. The record is from RNAcentral.
GUGGGGAAUCUUGCGCAAUGGGCGAAAGCCUGACGCAGCCAUGCCGCGUGAAUGAUGAAGGUCUUAGGAUUGUAAAAUUCUUUCACCGGGGACGAUAAUGACGGUACCCGGAGAAGAAGCCCCGGCUAACUUCGUGCCAGCAGCCGCGGUAAUACGAAGGGGGCUAGCGUUGCUCGGAAUUACUGGGCUUAAAGGGCGCGUAGGCGGACAGUUUAGUCAGAGGUGAAAGCCCAGGGCUCAACCUUGGAAUUGCCUUUGAUACUGGCUGUCUUGAGUACGGGAGAGGUGAGUGGAACUCCGAGUGUAGAGGUGAAAUUCGUAGAUAUUCGGAAAAACACCAGUGGCGAAGGCGACUCACUGGCCCGUUACUGACGCUGAGGCGCGAAAGCGUGGGGAGCAAACAGGAUUAGAUACCCCUGUAGUCC